This 775-nucleotide long non-coding RNA is filed under the name Gossypium barbadense (sea-island cotton). Its description in RNAcentral is "long non-coding RNA (GBAR_LNC015379)". Lineage: Eukaryota; Viridiplantae; Streptophyta; Magnoliopsida; Malvales; Malvaceae. The record is from RNAcentral.
AAGGCCCAGCACCCUGGCCCAACAGCCAAGCCCACAUCAGACUAGGGUUUCAGAAACUGAAACCCUAGUAUCCCACUUGCCGCUGCUCUCUGUCAGCCGCACGUCCCAUCGCCAUCUCUCCUCCACCUGCUCCCAUCACCUCCUUGAACACCUGCAAACAUGACGGAAGCAGCAACAGAAACAGAAACGCAGCAAACAGUAACAAAACAACAAUAGGACUUUGUAUAAUCGGCUAUAAAGAGCCAUUCAUUUUCAAUGUAAAAGGGGGGAGAUUUCGGAUUCUAUCUCAUUCGGCUAAAAACAGAAGCCGAAAGCAAUUGUAAAAAAGGGAUCCCCAUUCUUGUACACACGCAUAUUUCAGAAAUAAAAGAGCAAAAACAAAAGAAAAAGGUUACGUUUUUUUCAAUUUCUGAUUUCUUUUUUCUUUUUUCAUUUUUGAUUUUGCUUUUAAGCUUCAAGAACAAGAAAUAAAAAGAAGACGGGGAGAAAACUUACCCGAACCCCUGGGUCACACCGUCGGCGGUUCCCUCAGUCGUCGGAGCCGAACCCAAAACGGGUGGAGAUCCCUUCAUUUUCGGGUUUUCUUGGUUAAAAAAUCUUAGCCUUCAUACCUGGUUGAAUCGGGGGCUAAAAACCCACCCUUGAGCAUCGCCAGCCACCGAUACGGUGGGGGCGCGGUGAUGCGACGGCGACGGGCUCACGAUUCAGUAAGAGAGGAGAGGGAGAGAAGCUUUAACAUUCUAUUUUUUUUUUGUUCUUUUUUUUCUUUUCUUCU